This 385-nucleotide ribosomal RNA is filed under the name Acanthamoeba genotype T4. RNAcentral describes it as "SSU rRNA". It matches the Rfam family "Eukaryotic small subunit ribosomal RNA", at positions 738 to 1096 of the family's 1831-position model. Lineage: Eukaryota; Discosea; Longamoebia; Acanthamoebidae. The record is from RNAcentral.
UGUGCCCCAGAUCGUUACCGUGAAAAAAUUAGAGUGUUCAAAGCAGGCAGAUCCAAUUUUCUGCCACCGAAUACAUUAGCAUGGGAUAAUGGAAUAGGACCCUGUCCUCCUAUUUUCAGUUGGUUUUGGCACGCGAGGACCACGGUAAUGAUUAAUAGGGAUAGUUGGGGGCAUUAAUAUUUAAUUGUCAGAGGUGAAAUUCUUGGAUUUAUGAAAGAUUAACUUCUGCGAAAGCAUCUGCCAAGGAUGUUUUCAUUAAUCAAGAACGAAAGUUAGGGGAUCGAAGACGAUCAGAUACCGUCGUAGUCUUAACCAUAAACGAUGCCGACCAGCGAUUAGGAGACGUUGAAUACAAAACACCACCAUAGGUGCGGUCGUCCCGGCA